Molecule: long non-coding RNA, 633 nt
Organism: Cyprinus carpio carpio
Lineage: Eukaryota; Metazoa; Chordata; Actinopteri; Cypriniformes; Cyprinidae
Source: Ensembl
UUUUGAAAAUGACACACUUCCUGCUGCCAGUUGGUGGCGCUGUAACUUUGACUCCUAAUAGUCACAUAUAUGCGAUCGGCAUCAUACAUCGAACAAACCGAUGAAGUUUGAUCAAACUCAGGUAAUGUAUGUUGAUGUUAUUAGACAUUUCCUGUUUCUCAUUUCUCGCCAUAAAUUCAACGCCUCGCCACGGACAAACCGUUCGAGAUAUCAAAAAUAUCUUCGCAAUUUAGCAUCCCCAAUGUCUUGAGAUCAUGUUCACCAAGUUUUGUGGCGAACGGGUGGAGUUCCUCAGAGGAGUAUAUCAAAUUCCAGAGCAUGUGUUUUUCACAAAACCCUAAAUAGCCAACUUCCUGUUGGGCGGAGCUUAUGAUAUGCAGUGCGAAAGUUGUUUGGUUUGAUGAGAUCUACAUGUGUACCGAGUUUCAUAUGUAUACGUGCAAGUAUGCAUGAUAUAUGGCCCUCAAUAUUCCAGGGGGCGCUGUAGAGCCCCUGUGCCACGCCCGUGUAUCAGUCUCUGCCCGGCCCUAAUGGCCGCAGAUUCCAAGGUGUGUGCCAAUUUUCAAGAGUUUUUGAGCAUGUUAAGGGCCCCAAAAGCCCCCGAAACCUUGGAAAAAAAUUAGAAGAAUAAAG